GUUUAUUAGUAGGAUUAAUAAUCUUGCCUGCCCUAUGAAUUUUAAAUGGCUGCAGUAUUUUGACUGUACUAAGGUAGCAUAAUCAUUAGUUUUUUAAUUGGAGACUUGUAUGAAGGGUAGAUACUAUGAUGAAGGUUUUUUAAUAUUAAUUUGAAUUUUAAUUUAAGUUAAAAAUGUUUUAAUUAAUUUGGGGGACGAGAAGACCCUAGAAGCUUAAAAUGGAGAUUUUUGAUUGGGGUGAUUUAUGAAGAGAGGGAUCUUUGUAGAAGGGAAGUUACUCUAGGGAUAACAGCAUAAUUCUUUUGGUGAGUUCAUAUCAAUAAAUGAGAUUGUGACCUCG
This 340-nucleotide ribosomal RNA is filed under the name Conomma oedipus. Its description in RNAcentral is "partial 16S ribosomal RNA". It matches the Rfam family "Bacterial large subunit ribosomal RNA", at positions 1832 to 2528 of the family's 2925-position model. Lineage: Eukaryota; Metazoa; Arthropoda; Arachnida; Opiliones; Pyramidopidae. The record is from RNAcentral.